RNAcentral lists this ribosomal RNA (433 nucleotides) under uncultured bacterium. RNAcentral's name for it is "partial 16S ribosomal RNA". It matches the Rfam family "Bacterial small subunit ribosomal RNA", at positions 38 to 507 of the family's 1533-position model. The record is from RNAcentral.
GGGGGGGGGGGGGGGGGGGGCGGGGGGGGGCGGGGCGGACGGGACCGUCGGGUCUAGUGGCGCACGGGUGCGUAGCGCGUGGGAACCUGCCCUUAGGUUCGGAAUAACUCCCCGGGGGGGGUGCUCAUACCGGAUAAUGUCUUCGGACCAAAGAUUUAUCGCCUUUGGAUGGGCCCGCGUUGGAUUCGCUAGUUGGUAGGGUACAAGCCUACCAAGGCGACGAUCCAUAGCUGGUCUGCGAGGAGGAUCAGCCACACUGGGACUGAGACCCGGCCCAGACUCCUACGGGAGGCAGCAGGGGGGAAUAUUGGACAAUGGGCGAAAGCCUGAUCCAGCAAUGCCGCGUGAGUGAUGAAGGCCUUAGGGUUGUAAAGCUCUUUUACCCGGGAUGAUAAUGACAGUACCGGGAGAAUAAGCUCCGGCUAACUCCGUG